RNAcentral lists this long non-coding RNA (482 nucleotides) under Homo sapiens (human). RNAcentral's name for it is "HSALNT0274609". Lineage: Eukaryota; Metazoa; Chordata; Mammalia; Primates; Hominidae. The record is from RNAcentral.
UCUGACCUGACGUCAUGUGUGACCAUGGAGUCCAUCUCCCACGGACGUGAGCUGAGGGAGCAGAAGCCAGAUUGUGUGCCCUUCCCCACACGAAGAGCCUCAGGCAGACAUUGCCAAUUCACCUUUCCGGAGUUGUCUUCUGUUCCGCGUGGGGAGAAGAUGAUCGAGGGGGCUGCUGGGAGCAUAGGGGAGGCACCUUGUGCCCACACACAUCUGCAGAUGAACUCUUGGGGUCAUGCGGAGUGAGUCCUAACUGUGUACGGCUUUAGAGGGCGUCUCCAACUCAACCAACUGCUCAGUGCUCAGAGCAGUCUUAUCUCAUGGAUACAUCAUGACAGAUGCCAAUGGCAAUGUAAUCAUCAGAAAGUAUUCUUUAAAUUUCUUGAAGCAAGCAACCAGAAAUAUUAAAGAUAAGCCUAAAUAUAAGGCAGCCCUCUGUAACCCACCCACAUGACACUGGUGUAGGUUUGCACACGCCUUGC